RNAcentral lists this ribosomal RNA (407 nucleotides) under uncultured bacterium. RNAcentral's name for it is "partial 16S ribosomal RNA". It matches the Rfam family "Bacterial small subunit ribosomal RNA", at positions 28 to 526 of the family's 1533-position model. The record is from RNAcentral.
GACGAACGCUGGCGGCGUGCCUAAUACAUGCAAGUCGAACGCAGUUGCGAACGGGUGAGUAACGCGUAGGUACCUGCAUCAUAGCGGGGGACAACUAUUGGAAACGAUUGCUAAUACCGCCUACUGUGAGAUUGACCUGCGUUGUAUUAGCUAGUUGGGGAGGUAAAGGCUCACCAAGGCGACGAUGCAUAGCCGACCUGAGAGGGUGAUCGGCCACAUUGGGACUGAGACACGGCCCAGACUCCUACGGGAGGCAGCAGUAGGGAAUCUUCGGCAAUGGACGGAAGUCUGACCGAGCAACGCCGCGUGAGUGAGGAAGGUUUUCGGGUUGUAAAGCUCUGUUAUUCGGGAAGCGGUAACUGACCAGAAAGCGACGGCUAACUACGUGCCAGCAGCCGCGGUAAUAC